RNAcentral lists this ribosomal RNA (253 nucleotides) under uncultured bacterium. RNAcentral's name for it is "partial 16S ribosomal RNA". It matches the Rfam family "Bacterial small subunit ribosomal RNA", at positions 524 to 776 of the family's 1533-position model. The record is from RNAcentral.
CACGUAGGGCGCAAGCGUUGUCCGGAAUUAUUGGGCGUAAAGCGCACGUAGGCGGCUCGUUAAGUCGGAUGUGAAAUCCCUCGGCUCAACCGAGGAAGUGCAUCCGAAACUGGCGAGCUUGAGUACGGAAGAGGGUCUCGGAAUUCCCGGUGUAGAGGUGAAAUUCGUAGAUAUCGGGAGGAACACCAGUGGCGAAGGCGGAGACCUGGGCCGAUACUGACGCUGAGGUGCGAAAGCGUGGGGAGCAAACAGG